Megalobrama amblycephala (Wuchang bream) is the source of this 902-nucleotide long non-coding RNA. RefSeq lists it as uncharacterized. The transcript has 2 exons. The record is from RefSeq and is a predicted model, not a curated record. Lineage: Eukaryota; Metazoa; Chordata; Actinopteri; Cypriniformes; Xenocyprididae.
CUUUAAAGCAAACAAUUAAUUUCAGUAUCAGCCACUAGCCUCUGUCCUCAGUUUCUUCAGGAUUUCCUCUUGGCUGACAUCUGCAGUCACCUUGAUAACUUUUUCUCUGGAUUUGGAGCCCUAUGAUGCAAAAGAAACCAUCUCCAGGACUUUGGAUAAAUAGCGCAGCAGCUCGGCGUUGGCCUCUCCGUCUGUCGGAGGCGCGGCGAUGGCGACACCCACCGCCUCCUCGGACACAUCUGUCACAAAAACAACUGUUGUGGUGCAUGGACUCCUCAUAGAUAAGCGCUAUUUCUUUAUUCACAUAUUUAUGAUACUCAACCGGUGAUUGCGUUGUGUUUGGCCCCGGGUUUAGCAUGUAUUGCUAUUGCAAUUGUCCCGUCUUUAACUUUAGUUACAGGACCGGGAGGUGUCUCCGGUGGUUUGGGGUUGCUUUUGCUCUAAAAGGGAAAACAGUUUAAACGUGUUACAAGAUUAAUCUCUUUAAGAGACACUCAGAUGUAUGUACUAAGUUACAUAAAGACAAUACUUGACUCACAUUUAGGCUAACAGCCAUUUGUAAUCACAUUUUGGCUAUUAUUAUUAAACCGAGUAUGAUUCAUAUGCAUACAAAACACAUUCAUAUUCAUAUCUAUUGUAAUAUGUAAUGAGCCCUACCGUCUUGUCCUUUUUAGGCAUCGUAUUGUAUCGCGAGUAGCUGUGAAGUGUGAGUUUCUGCGUCAAAAGCGUCCGACUGCACAAUGCUGAGGGGUGUACGAGUGGAAAAGAAGAUAUUCGAACAAAAUUGAGAAUUUGGGAAUGCAUGAGCUAAAAGACAUAAGCAUUAUUGAACUAUCUUGAGUGACCAGCAUGAGUUUCUGUGAUAACAGCAGUUUGCACAGGCGCAUGACAACACAAGCAAA